RNA transcript from Cucurbita moschata (crookneck pumpkin), 1207 nucleotides. RefSeq lists it as uncharacterized. The transcript has 5 exons. Lineage: Eukaryota; Viridiplantae; Streptophyta; Magnoliopsida; Cucurbitales; Cucurbitaceae. The record is from RefSeq and is a predicted model, not a curated record.
UUAUCUUUUUGGGUUUUCUUUCCCACAUUGAUAUAUGUCAAUCUUGUUUCAGCAUUUGGCUUGGAGGCGUGGUCUUUGCUCCUUCAAAGCAAAGUAUCUACUUAAUCCUUUAUGGGGACUUAUUUGUCAUUUCCCGAGGAGUUGAUUGUUGGCGAAUCAUGGAAACACCAGAAAUAAGAAAAGCCCACUCUGCUUUCGUGGACCCCCGUCAUGGAGAUUUGAUAUCAAUAUGGGAAAGUCGUCCAGAAAAUGGAUAACGCAUUACAGCAGCUCCCACGACAUACUCCUUGUUGGAGAAGGCAAUUUCUCCUUCUCAGCUUGCUUGGCCUCCGCCUUCGGCACUGCUACCAACGUGGUUGCCACUUCUCUCGACUCCGAAGAGACAUUGUUGCGAAAGUACGGCUCGGACAUUAAGACAACCUUGGAAGAGCUGAAGGAGCUGGGUUGCAGUGUGAUGCAUGGAGUGGACGUAAUGACAAUGAGCCAACACCCACUUCUCUGUCACACCUUGUUUGAUCGCAUUGUCUUCAAUUUUCCUCAUGCUGGUUUUCAAUACUCCAGAGACAAAUCAAGUAAACUCCACCAGAAUCUAGUGAGAAGAUUUCUGAGAAAUGCAAAAGAACUAUUUGUCGAAAAUGGGGAAAUUCACAUAACCCACAAGAUUUCAUAUCCUUACAGUGAGUGGGAGAUUGAGGAAGUUGCAGAAGAAGAGGACUUAUUUUUAAGAGAGGAAGUAGAGUUCAAUGAAGGGGAUUAUCCAGGUUAUGUCAAUAAGAAAGGCAGUGGGCCAAACAGCAACCGCACCUUCGCUGUUGGACUAUGCAGCACUUUCAAGUUUGUGAAAACACUGUCCAAGAAAACGAGGAAGAAGAGGUUGGCCAAGGCUGCUGAAUUUGCACAACUCAAUGCUUCAUCUAUGAGUUUGAGUUAAGCUGGUUCGAGUCGAGAAAAUUUUUAGUUCGUCCCAAUAGUUUUGGAAAUAUUAGGCUUUUGUUGGUAUUCGAUCCUUUGUAAUUAAGGUCGAGAUUAGAAAAGACAUCCGUGAUUGCUUUGUUUGAUAUGCGUAUGUAAUAGAAGAGUUGUUUUGGUAAUAGGUCUAUUAUAAGCAACAUCGUACCCAACUCGUAAUAGCUAUAAGAUUAGAUUCUAAGAUAAAUUUGAGGUACUUUCAUAUUUUCUCUCUUUUACAUUCGAUCGUACAAAACUG